GGAGAUGGCCAAGCAGGUAAGGCUCCAAAGUUUGGUUUUGGUAAUCACAGGUUCGAAUCCCGUUCUU
RNAcentral lists this transfer RNA (67 nucleotides) under Pycnococcus provasolii. It matches the Rfam family "tRNA". Rfam says of the family: Transfer RNA (tRNA) molecules are approximately 80 nucleotides in length. Their secondary structure includes four short double-helical elements and three loops (D, anti-codon, and T loops). The record is from RNAcentral. Lineage: Eukaryota; Viridiplantae; Chlorophyta; Pseudoscourfieldiophyceae; Pseudoscourfieldiales; Pycnococcaceae.